This 662-nucleotide ribosomal RNA is filed under the name uncultured bacterium. RNAcentral describes it as "bacterial SSU rRNA". It matches the Rfam family "Bacterial small subunit ribosomal RNA", at positions 117 to 797 of the family's 1533-position model. The record is from RNAcentral.
GUGGGUAACCUGCCUUGUACUGGGGGACAACAGUUGGAAACGACUGCUAAUACCGCAUAAGCGCACAGCUUCGCAUGAAGCAGUGUGAAAAACUCCGGUGGUACAAGAUGGACCCGCGUCUGAUUAGCUGGUUGGUGAGGUAACGGCCCACCAAGGCGACGAUCAGUAGCCGGCCUGAGAGGGUGAACGGCCACAUUGGGACUGAGACACGGCCCAAACUCCUACGGGAGGCAGCAGUGGGGAAUAUUGCACAAUGGGGGAAACCCUGAUGCAGCAACGCCGCGUGAGUGAAGAAGUAUUUCGGUAUGUAAAGCUCUAUCAGCAGGAAAGAAAAUGACGGUACCUGACUAAGAAGCCCCGGCUAACUACGUGCCAGCAGCCGCGGUAAUACGUAGGGGGCAAGCGUUAUCCGGAUUUACUGGGUGUAAAGGGAGCGUAGACGGUUUUGCAAGUCUGAAGUGAAAGCCCGGGGCUUAACCCCGGGACUGCUUUGGAAACUGUAGAACUAGAGUGCAGGAGAGGUAAGUGGAAUUCCUAGUGUAGCGGUGAAAUGCGUAGAUAUUAGGAGGAACACCAGUGGCGAAGGCGGCUUACUGGACUGUAACUGACGUUGAGGCUCGAAAGCGUGGGGAGCAAACAGGAUUAGAUACCCUGGUAGUCCA